GUGAGGAAUAUUGCGCAAUGGAGGCAACUCUGACGCAGCCAUACCGCGUGCAGGAAGAAGGCGCUACGCGUUGUAAACUGCUUUUAACCGGGAAGAAACCCCAGGACGUGUCCUGGGUUGACGGUACCGGAGGAAUAAGCACCGGCUAACUUCGUGCCAGCAGCCGCGGUAAUACGAAGGGUGCAAGCGUUAUCCGGAUUCAUUGGGUUUAAAGGGUGCGUAGGCGGAGCGUUAAGUCAGUGGUGAAAUCCUGCAGCUUAACUGUAGACUUGCCAUUGAUACUGGCGCUCUUGAGUGCGCUUGAAGUGGGCGGAAUGUGCCGUGUAGCGGUGAAAUGCUUAGAUAUGGCACAGAACACCAAUUGCGAAGGCAGCUCACUAAGGCGAUACUGACGCUGAGGCACGAAAGCGUGGGGAUCGAACAGGAUUAGAUACCCGGGUAGUCC
This 445-nucleotide ribosomal RNA is filed under the name uncultured bacterium. RNAcentral describes it as "partial 16S ribosomal RNA". It matches the Rfam family "Bacterial small subunit ribosomal RNA", at positions 354 to 796 of the family's 1533-position model. The record is from RNAcentral.